GACGAACGCUGGCGGCGUGCUUAACACAUGCAAGUCGAACGAUGAAGCCGGAGCUUGCUCCGGUGGAUUAGUGGCGAACGGGUGAGUAACACGUGAGCAAUCUGCCCUUGACUCUGGGAUAACUGCGGGAAACUGUAGCUAAUACCGGAUACGACACCUUGGGGCAUCCCUGGGUGUGGAAAGAAUUUCGGUCAAGGAUGAGCUCGCGGCCUAUCAGCUAGUUGGUGAGGUAAUGGCUCACCAAGGCGACGACGGGUAGCCGGCCUGAGAGGGUGACCGGCCACACUGGAACUGAGACACGGUCCAGACUCCGACGGGAGGCAGCAGUGGGGAAUAUUGCACAAUGGGCGAAAGCCUGAUGCAGCAACGCCGCGUGAGGGAUGAAGGCCUUCGGGUUGUAAACCUCUUUUAGCAGGGAAGAAGCGAAAGUGACGGUACCUGCAGAAAAAGCACCGGCUAACUACGUGCCAGUCGCCGCGGUAA
This 483-nucleotide ribosomal RNA is filed under the name uncultured bacterium. RNAcentral describes it as "partial 16S ribosomal RNA". It matches the Rfam family "Bacterial small subunit ribosomal RNA", at positions 28 to 523 of the family's 1533-position model. The record is from RNAcentral.